UGAGCGGCAAUGACGGGGAAUAGUAAAACCGCCCUUCAGGUCCAGAGAGCGAAAUCCACCGGCUGAGAGGUUUCGUCCUUGAAUCGGUUUGAACCCACCCCAGAGCAUCCAGGGAAGACCUGGACAGGUUUCUUUCACCUGUUAUCAAAGAAAGAGAGCCGGGCGUUUCUUGGCUGAAGUAUACCUUCAGUCCAAAACGUCAAAUAAGGUGGUACCGCGUGAGGUUUUCAAGCCCUUUCGUCCUUAUC
Molecule: non-coding RNA, 248 nt
Filed under: Brevibacillus brevis
Lineage: Bacteria; Bacillati; Bacillota; Bacilli; Caryophanales; Paenibacillaceae
Description: T-box sequence
Rfam family: T-box leader
About the family: Uncharged tRNA acts as the effector for transcription antitermination of genes in the T-box leader family. T-boxes are found upstream of many aminoacyl-tRNA synthetase genes and some amino acid biosynthetic genes usually in Gram-positive bacteria.
Source: RNAcentral